ACCUUAAAACUAGCCUGACCACCCUUAAUUAGUUACAAUAUUACUAAUAAGUUACAUUAAUAUUUUAUACUUAAAACAUUUUAACAAUCCUAGUAUAGGUGAUAGAACAGAUAAUACUUAGCGCUAUAGAGAAAGUACCGCAAGGGAAAGCUGAAAGAGAAAUGAAAUAAAUCAUUAAAGUAAUAAAAAGCAAAGAUUAAACCCUGUACCUUUUGCAUCAUGAUUUAGUGAGAACAAGUGGGCAAAAAGACCUUAAGUCCACCUUCCCGAAACUAGACGAGCUACUUCGGAGCAGCAUAUUAGAGCUAACCCGUCUCUGUGGCAAAAGAGUGGGACGACUUCCAAGUAGAGGUAAAAAGCCUACCGAGCCUAGUAAUAGCUGGUUACCCAAGAAAAGAACUUUAAUUCUGCAAUAAUUAUUCAAUUCAUCAAAUUAGAUUUCUAAAUAAGAAAAAUUGUAAAAAUUAUUAGUUAUUCAAAAGAGGUACAACUCUUUUGAAUUAAGAAACAACUUUAUUAGGUGGGUAUAGAUCAUAUUAUGUAAGGGUUUCGCCCCAGUAGGCUUAAAAGCAGCCAUCUGAUUAGCAAGCGUUACAGCUCCAGCUUUAACCCACCUAUAAUUCUGAUAUUAACUCUUAACCCCCUAACCAAUAUUGGGUUUUUUUAUUAUUAAAUAAUAAAAGAACAUAUACUAAAAUGAGUAAUUAGAGGAUUAACCUCUCCAAACACCAGUGUAAGUCAGAAAGAAUUAAAUCACUGAUAAUUAUCCGAUACCAACCUGAGGUAAUAAUAUUAAUAAUAAAAAACUAGAAAAACACAUUUACCCAAUCGUUAACCCUACACAGGAAUGUUUUAAAGAAAGAUUUAAAGAAAAUAAAGGAACUCGGCAAACAUAGACUCCGCCUGUUUACCAAAAACAUCGCCUCUUGCAAACACCGUAUAAGAGGUCCCGCCUGCCCUGUGACAUUGUUUUAACGGCCGCGGUAUUUUGACCGUGCGAAGGUAGCGUAAUCACUUGUCUUUUAAUUAAAGACCUGUAUGAAAGGCAUCACGAGAGUCUAACUGUCUCUAUUUUCUAAUCAAUGAAAUUGAUCUUCCCGUGCAGAAGCGGGAAUAAAACCAUAAGACGAGAAGACCCUAUGGAGCUUUAAACACUUAAGUUAUUAUUUCUUUACUUGUAUCCUAAGGGUUUAACUUUAAUAAUAAUAACGUAACUUAAUGUUUUCGGUUGGGGCGACCGAGGAGUAAAAAGAAACCUCCUCAUCGAUUGAGUAUACUACUUAAAAAUCUGAACGACAGUUCUGAUCUAUAGAAUAUCUAACGAAUAAUGACCCAGGAUUAAAAUUUCCUGAUCAAUGAACCAAGUUACCCUAGGGAUAACAGCGCAAUCCUUUCUAAGAGCCCAUAUCGCCGAAAGGGUUUACGACCUCGAUGUUGGAUCAGGACAUCCUAAUGGUGUAACCGCUAUUAAGGGUUCGUUUGUUCAACGAUUAAUAGUCCUACGUGAUCUGAGUUCAGACCGGAGUAAUCCAGGUCAGUUUCUAUCUAUGUAGAUAUUUUC
This 1561-nucleotide ribosomal RNA is filed under the name Notoraja sp. bSPI. Its description in RNAcentral is "partial 16S ribosomal RNA". It matches the Rfam family "Bacterial large subunit ribosomal RNA", at positions 126 to 2661 of the family's 2925-position model. Lineage: Eukaryota; Metazoa; Chordata; Chondrichthyes; Rajiformes; Arhynchobatidae. The record is from RNAcentral.